This 29-nucleotide non-coding RNA is filed under the name Mus musculus (house mouse). The record is from RNAcentral. Lineage: Eukaryota; Metazoa; Chordata; Mammalia; Rodentia; Muridae.
UUNGCCUAUGUGCCAAGGAGCCCGGUAUG